Molecule: long non-coding RNA, 375 nt
Organism: Gymnogyps californianus (California condor)
Lineage: Eukaryota; Metazoa; Chordata; Aves; Accipitriformes; Cathartidae
Exons: 3
Source: RefSeq, a predicted model, not a curated record
GAAUUCAGUGGCGCUUCAGUCUCCUUGUUCAGGAUGUGCUGAUGAACACAGUGGGAGGUGUGAAUCAAGGGCAGCCAGAAGAAGAGGUGAAAUAGACCAAAGUCAUUUAAAAGUCUUUGCAGAGACAACGUAACGAUGAUGUGAGAAGAAAGAAGAUCCCUGCCUACCACACUGCACUUAUCAUCUGUCAAAAUGGGGCCAACUGAAGAUGUUAUAUUCCAGGAGCAAUGAGCAUAGGCACUUGAGAGUUCCAGCCUGAGAUGUGCAAAAUGCUUCUAAUGAAGCUCCAAACCAUGUGAAAACAGAGUGACAAGAUCUUCUGUGUAGCAGAGAGGGGGUCCUGCUUCAAGCAGAAGAAAAAGAGCGGAGGGCAUC